Molecule: ribosomal RNA, 1959 nt
Filed under: Triticum aestivum (bread wheat)
Lineage: Eukaryota; Viridiplantae; Streptophyta; Magnoliopsida; Poales; Poaceae
Description: partial small subunit ribosomal RNA
Source: RNAcentral
GUAUGGGACGUCGAAGCAUGGAAAGCUAUCAGGCUUGCUCUGUUCAACAAUAAGUGCGGUAGCAGAAUCAUCACCACAACGCGUAACGUUGCCAUCGCAUCAUAUUGCUCAGGCGACAGCAGUUAUGUUUAUCAAAUGGAGUCCCUUAAUUCUUCCGACUCCAGACGGCUAUUUUUUAAAAGAUCAUUUGGUUCAGAAGAACUGUGCUACCCUCACCUGGAAGAAGUUUCUAGCCAGAUAUUGGCAAAAUGUGGUGGACUUUCAUUGGCGAUUAUUACCUUGUCCAGCUUGUUAGCUGACAAGCAUGCAAACGAUGAAUGGAACAGGGUGCUAACAGCUAUUGGCUCGGCACUUGCAAAUGGUCCUAAUGCUGGGAACAUGACAAAGAUAUUGUCUCUGAGCUAUUUUGAUCCUUCUCACCGUAUGAGAACAUGUUUGUUGUAUUUGAGUGUAUUCCCAGAAGAUCAUAGGAUUGAUAAACAGCGUUUGAUAGGUCGAUGGGUCGCGGAAGGAUUCAUCCACGAAGAACGAGGGCGAAGUGCUUAUGAAGUAGGCGAGGGCUAUUUCAAUGACCUCAUCAACAGAAACUUGAUCCAGCCAGUUGAUGUAGAGUAUGGCCAGCCCAAGGCGUGCCGGGUUCACGACAUCAUCCUUGAUUUCAUUACAUGCAAGGCUGCUGAAGAAAAUUUCGUCACGUUAUUCGAUUCCGUGGAGCAUGGACAUGCUUCAGAUUACAGGGUUCGUCGGCUUUGUGUCGAGAAUCGCAACAGCAAUAAGGUUACCAUACCAACAAGCCUGAUACUAUCCCAUGUCCGAUCACUUACUGUAUUUGGACACUGCAUGCAAGAAUCUUUGUCGACAUUCCCCGCCCUUCGUGUGUUGGACCUGGGAGAAUGUUGGGAGUUAGAAAACCAUCAUCUUGCAAAUAUUGGAAAGUUGCUUCAUCUCAAGUACCUGCGUCUCAGACAAUCUAGAAUUACUGAGCUCCCCGGAAAAAUUGGAGAACUGCGGUAUUUGGAAACACUGGACAUCAGAGGUACCAGGAUCCAGGAACUGCCACCAACUAUUUCCAGGCUUCAACGAUUGGCACAUCUACAUGUUAAUCACAUGAUUAGGUUUCCGGACGGCGUAAUUGGGCAGAUGCAGAGUUUAGAAGAGGUGGAGAAUUUCGGCGUCUUCUCCUAUGAACAGGGCAAGUGUCUGCGAGAGUUCAGUCAGCUAAGUAAGCUGAGGACACUGAAAGUACCAAAUGGUUGGUCACAUGACACAACCAAAAGGAGCCAUCUUGAGGUUAUCGAGGGUUACUUGGAAAUUUUAUUGUCUUCAUGCAAUCUUCAUCAUCUCUAUUUCCAGUUAUGGCGGUGCAGCCUUCCAGCUUACCGCUACCCAGUGUCACUUGAAUCGUCGUGCCCUACUGAUGCGUGUGUCCUCAGGAAGCUCCACAUCACGUACUGUUACAUUGACAAGGUUCCAGGUUGGAUGAGCCUGCUUGAAAACCUCGGGGAACUAAACCUUUAUAUGUUCAGUGUGAGACCAGAAGAUGUUGCGGUUCUUGGAGCAAUUCCAUCUUUGCAUUUUCUUGGACUGAGGACUUACUUCGGCACAGAUGGGAGGAUCUUGGUCGCCGGCUUCAGAAGCUUGAAGUAUUUCGACCUGGAAAUCUUCUGCUGCGGGACCUCGCUGGAGUUUGAAGCAGGGUCGAUGCCGAGUCUUGAGCAACUCAAGCUUGAGCUCCGCGUGCACAAGAUGGAGUGCCUGAAUGGCGCUUCUGAUUUCGGCAUCCACCGCCUCUCCGCCCUCACCAAGGUUGAGAUCAGCAUUUAUGGCGACACCGAUGGUGUCUACGAUCUGUAUGAAGACAUCACCGUCAAAUGCGUCGCGAGCCGCCUCGAAACCGCCAUCGAGAAUGCCUUGGGUGUGUGCGUGUGUUGUGGUGGCGUGCAUUGUACUGGGUUGUGA